This 463-nucleotide ribosomal RNA is filed under the name uncultured bacterium. RNAcentral's name for it is "partial 16S ribosomal RNA". It matches the Rfam family "Bacterial small subunit ribosomal RNA", at positions 28 to 507 of the family's 1533-position model. The record is from RNAcentral.
GACGAACGCUGGCGGCGUGCUUAACACAUGCAAGUCGAACGGAAAGGCCUUUUCGGAGGUACUCGAGCGGCGAACGGGUGAGUAACACGUGGGUGAUCUGCCCUGCACUCUGGGAUAAGCCUGGGAAACUGGGUCUAAUACCGGAUAGGACCGCACUUUAGUGUGUGUGGUGGAAAGUUUUUUCGGUGUAGGAUGAGCCCGCGGCCUAUCAGCUUGUUGGUGGGGUAAUGGCCUACCAAGGCGGCGACGGGUAGCCGGACUGAGAGGUUGGUCGGCCACAUUGGGACUGAGAUACGGCCCAGACUCCUACGGGAGGCAGCAGUGGGGAAUAUUGCACAAUGGGCGCAAGCCUGAUGCAGCGACGCCGCGUGGGGGAUGACGGCCUUCGGGUUGUAAACUCCUUUCGCCAGGGACGAAGCGUUUUGUGACGGUACCUGGAGAAGAAGCACCGGCUAACUACGUG